Sarcophilus harrisii (Tasmanian devil) is the source of this 7113-nucleotide long non-coding RNA. The record is from Ensembl. Lineage: Eukaryota; Metazoa; Chordata; Mammalia; Dasyuromorphia; Dasyuridae.
CUGAUGCUGAGUGAAAUGAGCAGGACCAGGAGAUCAUUAUAUACUUCAACAACAAUACUAGAUGAUGACCAGUUCUGAUGGAUCAGGCCAUCCUCAGCAACGAGAUCAACCAAAUCAUUUCUAAUGGAGCAGUAAUGAACUCAACCAGCUAUGCCUAGAAAAAGAACUCUGGGAGAUGACUAAAAACCAUUACAUUGAAUUCCCAAUCCCUAUAUUUAUGCCCACCUGCAUUUUUGAUUUCCUUCACAAGCUAAUUGUACAAUAUUUCAGAGUCUGAUUCUUUUUGUACAGCAAAAUAACGUUUUGGUCAUGCAUACUUAUUGUGUAUCUAAUUUAUAUUUUAAUAUAUUUAACAUCUACUGGUCAUCCUGCCAUCUAGGGGAGGGGGGUGGGGGGGUAAGAGGUGAAAAAUUGGAACAAGAGGUUUGGCAAUUGUUAAUGCUGUAAAGUUACCCAUGCAUAUAUCCUGUAAAUAAAAGGCUAUUAAAAAUAAAAAAUAAAAGAUCUGCACAAACUAAUAAAUUCACACAUCACAAUAAACCUACAAAUAGAGAAAAAUAGAUUCAACCUUGAAACAGUAAAACAUGAGAAGAGAUGAGAUAUGUAGAGGAGAACCACAAAAGAGCAGUGUCACAAAAAUCCAGGGAGAAUAGAGUAUCCUAUCAUAUAUAGGCCAUAAUAAUAAUAAUAGAAUUUAUGUAAGAUUUUAAGGUUUGCAAAGCAAUUUAUAUUACAAAUAAACUCAAUUGAUCUUCACAACAACCAUAUAAGAUAAAUGUUAUUAUAUCCAUUUUAUUAUUUCAUUUGCUAACUUUCUUAGGUUUAGUCAUUUCUUAUUCCUGUUCUUAAUCCUAGAUAUGGAAAAAAAAGUCUUUACUUAUCUAUACUGGAGAUGUUUACAUUUUUAGCUGGAAUCAUUUCCACUUUGUCUGCCGAUUCCUUUUUCUGGAUGGGAUUCUUCUUAUCUCACCCAGUUACAGAAGCCUGCUCUACAAAUCUGCUUGGAUUCUUCCAAGCUUGGUUCCAGGUCACCAUAUGUUCCAUUUCUCCCCUUUUGCCCUGAGACAUCCACAUUUAAUAAAACAGCUCAACCUUUUCCCCGUUUCCCUUGAUGAUACCAAAUAUGUUAGUCUAGUGUGAAAUUUCAAAGAACCAGAGACAAUGCUAAUCUCACCUUAACUGAUCUAAUUAUAGACUAUUACAGGCAUAUUAAGCACCAGUAGAUAUACUCACUCAUACCGAAAGGAUACAAGAUGAUCUUGUCACUUCACUGUCACUCACAAGGUUCCUGUCUUUGUCUGGUUCUCAGCACUAAAGCCACAUGUCAUCACUGUUCCCAGGAAGCUGACUAUCCAGUCACAGCCAGUCAUCUGUUAAGGAACUAUAUAGACUUAGAUAGGUAGAAAAAGAAAGGUGGAGUCUUUUGGAGAUUUUCUAGAUUUAACAAACUCCUGGAUCAUUUUAAUACAGUAUCCAAUAAAUCAAGAAUCACUUAUUAAGGGCUUACAGAUAUAAAAGAAAAACAACAUUACCUGCCCUCAAGGAGCUUACAAUAUAAUAGCUAUAGAGAGGGAAGGCUCUAGCUGCUGGGCACAACAAAAAGGGCCUCCUGCAGAAACGCAUUUUGAAGGAAGCCAGGUAUUCUAAGAGGCAAAGACAAGGAGUGAAAACAUACCAGGUAUGGAUGAGAUGUGGAGAAAAUCAGAGAAGUAAAAGAGAGAGGUCGUGUGUAAAGGAUGCAGAUGGGCCAAAAUGGCUGGGGCUUAGAGUCUAUGGAAGAGAAUAGACUGACAGGGUCGGGAGGAGCCAGGAUGCCAAACAAGAUUUAUUUGAUCCCAAAGGUAAGAGAGAGCUAGUGAAGCUUAGUAAGUAGUUCAGAUUGGUGGGAAAUAAAUCACUUUGGAAGUAGUGUGGAGGAUUGUUUGAAGGAGCCUGAGAUUUGUCAUGGGUCAUCUCCAACCCUAACUCAGAGCAUCAGGGUGCUGGCUGUGUGUGCAGAUAUCAUAUAGGUAGAAAUGACAAGGAUGUUGGAAGGAGACAGCUAAAGGAAAACAUCUUCAUUAAAGGCUAGUGAAAGGGUGAGAAUCUGGUUAACUUAGCUGGUUCCCCACACUUCUCUGUGGUCCUCUGUAUUAUGUCCGUACAUCUUGUGGGAAUCUUGCAGUUUAUGAUGUACUGUAAGUUACUUGAGAUCUUGGUCACAGAAGACACCAAAGGAAUGGGUAAUAAUGAUAUUCUGUCUUCACAAGGGCCACAUUUGGAGAUGCCUGCUUUGGUCUCUUGAUCAGACCAAAGUUUUCAGGAUUUCAACAUCUGUAGCACAAGGCUUUGUGUACAUUACUGUGGAGGCUCAGUCAUUCUGUUGUGUCGAAUCUUUAUGAUCCCCCACAGACCAUACUAUCCAUGGAAUUUUCUUGGCUGACAUGCUGGUUUACCAUUUCCUUCUCCAGUAGAUUAAGACAAAUAGAGGUUAAGUGACUUGCACAGGAUCACUUAGUAAGCAAGUAAAGGCAGAUUUGAAUUCAAAUCUUCCUGACCACAGGCCCAGUCACCUCACUGCCUCCUGUGCACUUAUUUAAUAAGUUUCAGUUAAACCCAAAAUGCUACAUCUGGAAGUAAGCCAUUUUAGAACAUAAGCUGGAAGGAUUUUUAAGGAAACUGAAACCUAGAGACAUGAUUUUUACUCAACAUCACACAGUUUGCUCUUUAAAGCACUUGCAUCUGAAGUGUAGAAUACCUGACCCACCAUAUCCACAUUACCCUUUAUGGAGUAUACCUAUUAGAAUAAAGGCAGUGAAAUGCUUGGCAAAAUUCUGAAGUCAGCCCCAUUUAAGAUUCAGGAUUUUCCCCAAUCUCCUCCCUGUUUUGUGUCUUUUUCCCCUUAGUCAGCAUUCUAAGAUUCAAGCUAUACCAAAACCUUUAUGUCAUGGCAAAAGCAGUUGGUGAACUUGGAUGAUGUUUCUACAUUGAGGAUGGCAGAAUAUCUAAGGCUUGGAGGGAGGAAAGCAAUAAUUACUGCCAAUAGUCCUAAUGAAAAAUUAGCCUCUUCCACUCUUGAGAUUGCUUUAUAGACCACAGAGAGAGCUUAUGUUUUUUUUUUUUAACUCAUUCUGUUAUGGGUUUACAUCUUAAAAUAGUUGUUGCAGAACUAUUUGUUAUGGAAACAAGGAAAAAGUAAAACAAGUGAGACCUGUUCACAAUGGAAAAAUUGGUUUCCAGAGAGCUUUUUAUUUAUCCCUCAGGAAGUUACAUGCCCAAGAAUAUCAUAGGUUGUUCAAGGUACUGGGAGUAGAAAACCCAAAGGGAUUGGGUGAUGAGCCUUUACCAAAAGGUCAGCAACAGUUGUGUCUUCUGUAAUCCCAUCUGAAUCCUUCUCUAUUGAGAUUUCACAAGGCAUUGCCUAUUAAUUUGUGGGACCCUGACUCAAGGAGAAAAUAGGGUUUGUUUGAAUGUGAUUCCCAAAAAAAGAUUUUUGAAAGAGGCUGCAAGAAAAGGGAAAUGUUUAGCCCAAAGAAUGAAUUGUUAAUGUCAUUUCAGGCAUCACUGAGGAAGGUACUGGGAGCAGAACAACCUUCUUAAUUGUUCUCCACCCAACAUCACAUAAAAGCUGCCUACAUUAGCACUGACCCUGCCUCAUCAGACUUGUCAAAGCCAAUAUUGCAGAGCUACUCAUUGUUUGGGGAUGUGAUGGGCAACAAGAAAACCUUGCUACAGUCUCACAAAUUGAUUUGCAUAAUAAGCACAUUCUAACUCUGCUUCUGCUCACAGAUAGCCUUUCCACAAAGGGACUUUAUCUGCCCCAUGUAGAGACUAUAGGAAGGCUCAGGGCCAUGCGCUUCAGAUUUAUCAUUCAUUAGUAUUCUCUCAUUUCUCCACUAAUUUUAAAUUCUAGAGCUCUACAAAGAGAGAAUAUCAGAACUCAUGGCAGCCAGUCUUCUCAGCUAGCCUUGACUUAAUAUCUAGCCACUGGAUUCCAAUGACUCUGGAGGAGAAAGGGAGAGUAAUGACUUGGCACAGCCUUGGAUUACUUAAAUUCAGCCAUCAUCCUCCUGAUGUCAUUGGUCCUCUUCCAGAAAGAAGGAUGAACAACAAAAAAAGAUUGUAAAGGCAAUGAGACUCAGAAUAACAAAAUGGGAGGAUAUAGGGCUGCCAGGCUGCCAGAACUGGGAAAACCUUGAAGGGGGAACCUUAAAAAGACAGGGCACCAAAGAUACUUUUGCUAAGGUCCAAUCCAACUGCCAGAUUUCAAAACAGCAUAUUAUUUCCUUUGGUACUUUAGAUUGUCAUACUCAACAGAGAGUAACCCAAAGUUCCUUUGUUGACUAAACAUUUUUUGGAAUGGAAAUUCAGAAUACAGUGGAAAUUUGGCAAGUAGCAAACAAAAUAAAAUCUUUCAUUCUCACCUAGUCUGCCCACAAUUAUUAAUUCGGGUACAAACAACUUUUCUUUUUUCACAAAAGAACAGAUUAUCAAACCAUCAUUUAUCUUAGUGAUGUCCUUUUGGAUCAAUCUCUAGAGUUCAAUAAUUAAAUCAUUGCUUUUAAUGGCCCAUUCAACAGCAAUUAAUUAAUAUAGAUAUUGAGUUCAGUAGUGUUAGAUGGACACUUGUUCCAUCUAACAUCAGGCCUGGUUUACAAAAUUGAAUUUGGACUUUGGGGCCAAGACUAAGAAUUCGUUUUCUCGUAGUGACUAGCAUUAGAUAAUUGUUGUUGCUCAGUGACAUCAAUCGUUCAGUCCCAUUAAACUCAAAUUUUUUACUUAAUUCAACAGGGCUUAUUUUCUCAGUGAAUCUCAUCUGGUCUUUUCUUGUUUGUUCUUGGCUGUUGUCCUCUCCUGGGGCUUAGCCUCUUAUCUGGAUCUGAGCCUGUAUAGCACUUGCCCAAUAAAUAGUGUUUCUUGGGCAGCUGGCCUCCAAGCCAGUCAUACUCCAACAGUCCUAAUUCUCCAAAAUUAAUUACUGCUAACAUACCUGGCAACCAGCAAAAACCUCCUCUUUUCAAUUUGUUACAUCCAAAGAAAGGAAAGGGAGGGUGGAAAUGAGCAUUUGCUAAGUAUCUUCUAUGUGCCAGGCUCUGUGCUUACAAAUAUCAAGCCUUCAAGAUAAGUGCUAUUAUUAUUCCCAUUUGCAGUUGAAAAAACUGAGGCAGACAGGGAUUAAGCAACUUGUCCAGAAUCAGCCAGUUAGAAUAAGCUUCUGAGGCUAGAUUGAAAAAUGGCCUUUCAUUUACCAGUUUCAGAUUCUUGAAGCCUGAUAUUCAUGUCAAUUUUGUCUCAUGUCAAUGAAUUACUUUCAUGUCAAGAUUACAUGGUAAACUUUCUAGGUGGCAAUCCCAGGUUUCCUCUCAAACAUUCAAGAAGUAUCCAGUCCAAAGCAAGGACGUUUCAACCACAUCUUCCCACCAAAGCCCUUCUGUAGGUACCAUCCUUUCAAGAGAAAAAAUAAGCCCCACCAUGAAGCUAAAUACAUCUCAGGGACAGAUAGGGACUUCUAAAGGUCCAGAGAUGUCCUCUGAAUGUUCUUUAAAGCCUGCCCUCCCAACCCCACCCACCCCAUCUCUUUUAUCACAUAAUCAUUAAUGAGAAAUAUUUAUUUAGCAUCUGCCAUAUGUGAGUCAUUGCUUUAGAUACUGGGGAUAUGUAGGGAAUAAAAUCAAGUCCCUGCCUCCAAUGAAUUCAUAAUCUACUAAAAAUAUCUCCCAUUUACAUAGUGCUUUACACUUAACAAAGCACUUUGCUCAAAACAGCCCUGUGAAUAAGUAGCCUGUCAGUCGUCACGCCCUUUUCAGAGAUGAACAUGGAGUAAUAACUUGCCCAAAGUCCCCAAACAGGAAAUCCCAGAGCCAAAGAUGAAUCUAGCUCCUGACUCUCCAUCUGGUAACCCCCACUCAAUGACCACAAUGGAAGGUUACAAGUGACUAGUGCAACGGGAGAAACAAAGUAGAAUAAGAAAUCAGAAAAGAGAAGAGACAAAUUUCUGCAUUGAUAGCCUUCCAAGGAAGAUUUCUUAAAGAAAAUGACAAAAAAGCUCGAAGAACUUGGAUGGGAUUUCUUUAGCUUGACUCGGAAGAUGGGACAUGAAAAAGGAAUUUUUUUCCACCUGGUUAAUUCUGAGCCUGGAUUUUGAUGCCCUGUGAAUAAUGUGGAACUUUGCUUUCUGAUUAAAUAUAAUUCUUGUGUGGAAUCAAACAGAUCUUAGAGAGUUUUCCCUGUGUUUGGGUUUUAGCGGGAUUACCUAGGAAUCGCAAUCAAAUGACUUGGAACCAGAAAAAUAGAUCUACUAACCUUCAGAGUUACACUGAAAAAAAGACUUAUUCCAGAAUGUCCAAGGACAGAUGAUUCCAGGGACUAGACAGCAACCUGGAAUAUCUGGGAUUCCUGAUAAAAUUUGGUUAUUAAAUGGACUUUGGGAGUGGGUUACCAAGUUGCAAGGAGAUUUGAUGUUAUUUAAUAUUGAUGAUCAUUAUUGUUUUGCUUCAGUUUUUUUUUUGUUGUUGUUUUAUGUUUACAUCUGCUGAAUUUUCAUAGUCACCUUAAUGAAAUGUUAAUUAGUCCAUGGUGAGCCCUCUAAGUCAUUUGAUCUGUAGCCUGAUUUAGUUUACCUAUAGAUUCUAUUUAACAAAGUUUGUAUCCUUAAGGAAUAUAUGAGAUUAUGACUGUUUAUAUUCUUUGUACCUUUCACCCCAUUCUUUUGCUACCUCUUAAGGUACACUAACAUUUUGUCCAGAAAUCCAUAAUAGAUAAAGUAUUUAAAUAAAUGACCCUGUGGGCUAAGAACCCCAGAAUCAAAGGUAGAAAUGCCACAUUAAAAUAGCAUGAGUAACUCCAUUUUUGCCUUUACCCACCAUUUUUAAAUUUAAGUUGCAACUUUUUGUUAGUCACCUGAUCACAGGAAAGUCAUAAGACUGGAAAGUCACAGGAUUAUCCCAUUCUUACUUCAAUGUCUCCAAAUCCCUUCCAUUAAUAAGAAAUAAGGUGGUUCAAUCCCUACAUCCUGUUUUUGUUUUGGGUUGUUUUUUUUUUCCUUCUUUAACCAUAUAUUAACUGUGUAGAAAAGUCCUGGGUCUUUGUGCAGACCAAAAGCCUUGGACCUGAUUUGUUUCUGCAACCUCAUGC